This is a non-coding RNA of Oryza glaberrima (African rice), 203 nucleotides long. NCBI's taxonomy places the organism in Eukaryota, Viridiplantae, Streptophyta, Magnoliopsida, Poales, Poaceae. The record is from Rfam.
CCUAAGUGCAGUUAUAAAUUUCCGUAUCCAACGUUUUAUUGUCUGUCUUAUUUAAAAUUUUUUUAAAAUUACUAUUUAUAUUAUUAUUGAAUGAUAAAAUAUGAAUAAUACUUUAUAUGUAACUUAUUUAUUUUAUUUAUUUUAUAAAUUUUUGAAAUAAGACAGAUCAAACGCCAUACAUGUCAACUGUAACCGUACUUAAA